This 468-nucleotide ribosomal RNA is filed under the name uncultured bacterium. RNAcentral's name for it is "partial 16S ribosomal RNA". It matches the Rfam family "Bacterial small subunit ribosomal RNA", at positions 28 to 507 of the family's 1533-position model. The record is from RNAcentral.
GACGAACGCUGGCGGCGUGCUUAACACAUGCAAGUCGAACGGAAAGGCCCUGCUUUUGUGGGGUGCUCGAGUGGCGAACGGGUGAGUAACACGUGAGUAACCUGCCCUUGACUUUGGGAUAACUUCAGGAAACUGGGGCUAAUACCAGAUAGGAGCUCCUGCUGCAUGGUGGGGGUUGGAAAGUUUCGGCGGUUGGGGAUGGACUCGCGGCUUAUCAGCUAGUUGGUGGGGUAGUUGCUUACCAAGGCUGUGACGGGUAGCCGGCCUGAGAGGGUGACCGGCCACAUUGGGACUGAGAUAGGGCCCAGACUCCUACGGGAGGCAGCAGUGGGGAAUAUUGCACAAUGGGCGGAAGCCUGAUGCAGCAACGCCGCGUGCGGGAUGACGGCCUUCUGGUUGUAAACCGCUUUCGCCUGUGACGAAGCGGGAGUGACGGUAAUGGGUAAAGAAGCACCGGCUAACUACGUG